ACAUAGUAAUAGCAAAUAUACUCACUCAUAGAAGUGUUAAGCAAAUAGAAUAGAGUUAAGGGAUAGUAGAUUAAGAAAAAGGGAUGAGUAUAGGUAAUGGAUUAUCCCUGAAAAUGCCCCCGCGACUAUCGGCGCGCAGGAUUUUCCUCAUCAUCCUAGUUCUUUUCAGUUUUUCAGUACUAAUCUCAGUACAUCAUCGGUUUUCAUGGAUCCGCAUCGGUAGUGGACCUUCCCUACAAGAAAAUCAAGAUGAUCCAGAAAUUAACGAUAUCGGCGACGAUCCGCCUUCUUCAGGUCGACUUGAAAUAUCCAAUGAGGUUGGUGAGGUUGAAGAACCAACUGCGAAGGAGAACCAAGGCAAACCUUGGUUCAUGAAGGGCGGGACCGAGUUUCCGGGGAACUAUAGAGGACCUCCUAGGUUAUUCCCAGAUCAGGCCGAUGGGGAUAGGAUCGUGGAACAACUUAUGUACGUGCCCGAGGAUUAUCAAGGAUAUGAUACUCCAGAGAAGGUAAUAUUAGCCUACAAUGGACUCGGUGCGUGGGGCCAGAAAUCAGGGUCGGCGUCCUUUCACGGUUGUCCUGUCAACAGGUGUACUUUGACGGACGACAGGAGCAAGGCUGCUGACGUAGAUGCCAUUUUGUACAAAGACCAUUUUAUACAUCCUGGUGUUGCGCGACCUAUGAAACAGAUAUGGAUCAUUUACUUUCUGGAAUGUCCAUAUCACACGCAAAGUGUAAAAUUCGCUGAUCUCAUUAAUUGGACUGCCACUUACAGGCGGGACAGUGAUCUUGUAGCUCCCUACGAGAGAUGGACUUAUUUUGAUCCACAGGUACGCCAGAAGGUCCAAUCGAAAGACUAUUCCGUUAAUAAGACGAAAAAAGUUGCAUGGUUCGUAUCGAACUGCGGAGCCCGUAAUGGCCGUUUAGCGUAUGCCAGAGAACUUGGCAAAUACAUUCCAGUAGACAUAUACGGUACUUGUGGGCCGUUAAAAUGUCCUAGAUCAGAUAGAAAAUGUUUUGAAAUAUUAGAAAGGGAUUAUAAAUUUUAUUUGGCGUUCGAAAAUUCCAAUUGUCGAGACUAUAUAACCGAAAAAUUUUAUGUUAACGGUCUGGGACAAAACGUUCUUCCUAUCGUUAUGGGAGCUCGACCAGAAGACUACCAAAGAAGUGCACCUGAAGGUUCCUAUAUUCACGUAGAUGAAUUCGCCGGUCCUCAAGAACUGGCCGCUUACCUCCACCGACUAGAUAACGAUAACAACUUAUACAAUUCCUACUUCAAAUGGAAAGGCACCGGAGAAUUUAUCAACACAUACUUCUGGUGCCGCUUGUGCGCCAUGAUGCACGCGCCUCAAUCGACACAGCGGCACUACGAGGACGUCAACGAUUGGUGGAGGGGCCCUGGUGUAUGCACCACCAAGUCUUGGAGAAACGCUGAAUUCGUUUAGGCAUCCUUUGGAAGUUUUAGAUCAACCUCUCCGGUGAUAAUAAAACGACGUGAUCGAUUAAUUAUUGAACCGUCCUCGUAUAGUUAUGUUUAGAGUCAGAGGCGGUUUUAACGUUAAUAAAACUAGCAAAUUUCUUAAACUUUGGUUUGUAGUUUACUGGUUAAAAAUAGAGCGAUAGCCAGUUACACAGAUAUUUUCGAGACAGUUAUUGCUUUCUUAAUUGGAACGUCCUUAAAAAUACUUUGUUUGGUUCUUUAAUAUAUAGUUUCUCCAUUCUUUCUAACUGUGUAUGGUUUAUUGUAAUAAUGCUAAUGAUAAUUAUUUGUGUCUUCUUAAAGUUUAGUUAGGCCAUAUUAUUUAUUUAGUCUUCUUACAAUUUAGUGUUACAAGUCUCUACAACAUUAUGCAUUAUCCUUUGGAGCCGCUGUGCACAUCUGCCAGUAGGUACAUAAUGCUGUAUCUUCUGCGCAUAUCUAAUAUAUCUAGUAUACAGGGUGAGGCAGAUAAAAGUCCUAUUAGAAAUAUCUCGAGAACUAAAGGAAACAGAAUUAUGAAAAUUGAAAUGAAGGGGUUUUGAAGAGUGAUCUCUUUAGUGAAAAUUUUCAUCGAUUUGCUACUUCCGGUUAUACCGGAAGUGGCUUAUAACUUCGUUUUUUUAAAUGGAACAUCCUGUAUAUUUUUACAUUUUUGGAUUCUCCUCGUUGUCUUCUUUCUUAAAAUAUGAGGUUUUGUAAUGUUAUACAGGGUAGUUUAAAAGAUAAUUACGUUUUUUUUUCUCAAUAUCGUAGCAACAUUCACACCCUGUAGAAUUGUAGUAGUUUGACAUCAAAAACUCUAUUUAUGUUCAAAUGAUUUUUAAUAUAGUCUACUAUUCUUAAAAAUUGUUAGUAUAGCUAAAUGUUGAAUUGUACUAUACAGGGUUGGUCAAAACUCGGUAAGAGUAUUUUCUGAGUUUUCUUAAAUGGAACACCCUAUAUUUUAUUAUUGUAAUGAAAUGAUAUUUUAUGCUACUUUUUUAUUUCUUAAGCAUUCCCUAUACCUAACUGCUUUAAUUUGUGAGUUAUUGGUGAUUCAAGCCAAACAUUAAUUUCAACAAAAAAUACGUGAAAUUUUAUUAGGUUGGACGUGAAAAUAUUCAAUAACAAAUAAUUUUUCGGAAAUAAAUACAUACUAAUUUAGACUGAUCUUUAAAAUUGCCAAUAAUGGUUGAGCUAUCAAAAUACCUACGUAGUUAACAUUCUUGGCGCGAUUAACAACUAAGCACAAAUUAAAGCAUUUAGGUAUAGGGAAUGUUUAAGAAAUAAAAAAGUACCAUAAAAUGUCUUUUCAUUGCAAUACUAAAAUACAGGGUGUUCCGUUUAAGAAAAUUCAGAAAAUCCUCAUUCCGAGUUUCGACCAACCCUGUAUACUAAAAUUUAACAUUUAGCUUUACUAAUAAUUUUUAAUAAUAGUAGACAAUAUUAAAAAUCAUUUUAACAUUAAAAAAGUUUUUGAUAUGCAACUACUACAAUUCUACAGGGUGUGAAAGUUGCUACGAAAUUAAUAUAAAAACGUAAUUAGCUUGUAAACUACCCUGUAUAACAUUACAAAACCGCAUAUUUUAAGAAAGAAGACAUCGAGUAGAAUCUAAAAAUGUAAAAAUAUACAGGGUGUCCCAUUUAAAAAAACGAAGUUUUAAGCAACUUCCUUUUAAUUUUCAUGAUUCUGUUGCCUUUAGUUCUCUAAAUAUUUCUAAUAGGCCAGUUAUCUGCCUCACCCUAUAUAAGUUGGCCAUUUACUGCAUCCAUCUGAUUCGUCCAAGUUUUCUCUAAAGAUGUUUUCAGGGUAUAUUUUAAAUGAUGCUGGUGAAAAUUCAUUUUCGAAUCUCACUCUUGCUUUUUGUUGGAGAUAUAAGUUUGAGAUCAUUCUUAUAUCCUUUCCAUCGAGUCUUGAUGUUUUUAGGAUACCAAUUAUUUUCCUAUGCGGUACUUUGUCAAAUACGUUCUCAAAAUCAAUGAAACAUGCAUACACAUCGCAGUUAACAUCCCUAGCUCUCUGUAUUAGUAUUGCAAACUUAAAAGUGCUUCCCUCUUUCCGAGUCCUGCUCUGAAUCCAAAUUGAACUUCACUUAUUAUGUGCUCUUCUAAUGGACUGUGAUAGUCUGAAAAGUUUCCAAACAAAGCAACAAUUCACACGUGGUGUUUGUUUUGGUUUUUAUAAUUAGAAUAUAUUGCUUGUAAGAUGUUUAAUUCUUAAAAGAAUGGUAAUGUGUUGGGUACCCGUAAUUGUAAUCAAUGCUCAUAGUAUAUUUCCCACCAUAUUUCCAUAUAGGACUGGUUAAGAACCUGAAGAUACGCAGUAAGUACUAUGUAGUGUGUAAAUCCUUGAUUUUUGUAAGGACAUUUAUAAAAUUAAAAGCAAUAUGAUUGAUAUGACUAACAAGGAUUGUGUCUUUAGAAAAAAUGAGCAGAUGAUUGUUAAAACAAAAUAAAAUUAAAAAUGAUUACACAAAUCACGUGUAUAAACAAUUCUCAGACGUCAAACUUUUGCUUUGUUUGGAAACUUUUUGACGUUUUCACGUCACACUAUCACGGUCCAUUUGGUGUUUAUGUCCGAUUACCGAUAUAAAAAUAUUCCUUGUAUAUUUAACAUACAGUAUGGUGCAAAUGAAAGGAAUAAAUUCGAUAUUUCGUAAACCGGCGACUUUAAGGAAAAAUCUCGAAAUAGGUCGAUUUUUAUUUUUAAAUUAUGAUAUUGUGGCAUACAUAUCAUAUGAGUGAAGUCAUCUCUCUGGGCGUGAUGACGUCAGUGAUGAUUUUCUUAAAUAGAAUAGGGGUCGUGUGCUAGCUCACUUGAAAGGUUAUUCAAUUAUCUAUUCAGUAAUAUAAACAAUAACCUAAUUAUUUAUACAAGGUGGCCAAAAAACAGUUUUUUUGAAUUAAAUUAAUUCACAAAAAAAGAAGAAUGUAUGUAAUUUAUUGGUUUUCAAAAUACAUUUUACUGUUGCGAGAAAACAGAAAAAAUGUUUAUUUCACAAAUAAACAUUGCUUUUCGCUUAAAUUCAAUGUUCAAGCCUGCUCCCGCCGGCCACCUGCGUCUUGGAAGUUUGAACAUUAAAUUUAAGCGAAAAGCAAUGUUUAUUUGUGAAAUAAACAUUUUUUUCUGUUUUCUGGCAACAGGAAAAUGUAUUUUGAAUUAAAUAGAUUACAUACCUUCUUCUUUUUUGUGAAUUAAUUCAAAAAAAAAUUGUUUUUGGUCACCCUGUAAAAAUAAUUAUAUUAGUUUAUAUUACUGAAUAGAUAAUUGAAUAACCUUUCAAAUGAGCUAGCACGCGGUCUCUAUUCUCAUUUUAAAAAAUCAUCGAUGACGUCAUCACGCCCAGAUGGAUGACGUCACUAGUAUGAUAUAUAUGCCAAAACAUCACAAUUUCAAAAUAAAAAUCGACCUGUUUCAGGAUUUUUCCUUAAAGUCGCCAACUUAUGAAAUAACGAAUUUAUUCCUUUCAUUUGCACCAUACUGUAUAUUAUAUUCAGUUCUUAUAGUUCCUACUCUGUAAUCUGUAUCAUUGCGCUGCGAUCUCGAAGCGCACCAGUGGUGGCGUCAAAAACUGAGUAAUUUAAUUAUAAUAAUAUUCUAGACUUAUAGCAGAUGGAAAGUUUCUUUGUAUUGCCUGACUGGCUGGCUGCUUCAUAUAUGUCAAACGAAUGACGCUUGAAAAUUAUUUAUAAAUUGUCGAAUUUUCAAAUCUACAAAUAUUUUUCAUACAAAGGUAUUCAUAAACAUUAAUAAACUCACAUUUAUACGUUUUUUCGGCGAUCUAAUACUUAACACUGGUUAUGUAUGUACAUAAAUUAUAAUACAGUGUCAGAAAAUGGGUGCAAAUGGGUAUCGUUCUUAUUAAAUAAAUAAUAAAAUUAAAUAAUUAAAACAAAGAUAGAUAAAAAAAUUAAAAAUCUUAUACCUAUAAAUAAGGAAACACAUCCUCAAAAAUAUUUGAAAAUAUUUAUUUUUAUAUUUAGGCAAAUGGUUUAUAAGAAAUAGCCAAUUUCAUUUACUUCCGAAGCGUAUAACGUAUUUAGAGAUAUUAACUACUACAUUUUAUAAAUGUUUUUAUAUUUUAUAUUUGGCGUUUCAAAUAUAUUUGUUUUAUUUCUAGUCAAAAUGAGUUCUCAAAAUACAAAUUAAAUAUUCUUGUUGUACAAUAACUUGGCUAUACUCAUAAUAUAAUAAUAAUAUAAUAGGUAAUAUAAAAAUGUCACACAUAAAUUGUUUCCAAACGUAUUAAGGAAUUGAUUAAUAAUAAAGUAAUAAAAUUAAAUAGAAUUAAAAAAAAAUUAAAUUAAAAUAAGCACAAAGUAAAUCACACAGUCGCUGCCUAUUAAAAAUCAAUACCUACCUUCUUCUUCUGCUUAACUGGCUUUAGGGCUUGCGGUGAAUCUACGCCGCACACACUAUAGCCCUCCAUCUUAUACGAUCUUGCUCUUCCAUUUCCCAUUGUUAUGCCCCAAUCCUACAUAAUUCGGCUUCAACAUUAUCCUGUCAUCUUCUUCUACGACGGCCUACUGAUCUGGUCUGGUUUCUCAAAAAACACUCUUACAUCUUAUCACAUGAUCUGUCCAUUUUAUCCGGUUAGCUUUUAUUAUGUCUGACGAUGUUUUCAGUACCAUACAGAGUCAACAAUUCAGCCUUGGCGCGCCGUCUUCACUCUCCUAUUAAUUCAUCCCUUUGAGGCCAAAUAUCAUUUUGAGAACCUUCCUUUCAAAUACCAGCAGCUUAUUUAUUUUCCCUGGAGUCCAUGUUUCACUUCCAUUAUAACAACUGGACGAAUAAUUGACAUGUCCAGUCUUAAUUUAGAUUUUUGUUUUAGCAGCUUAGGUCUUAAUAAUGAUGAUAGGGAGUAUAAUACUGUAUUAUUCUCAGCUAUCCUUGCUGAGACCUCUAUUUCUAUGUGGUUGUUAUCUGUGUUUACUGCCCUCAGAUAUUUAAACUCUAUUACUAUUUCUAGUUGUGGUUAUUAAUAUUUAUGUUCUGCCUAACUCUUGGUCUUGGAUUUUUGGUUACUAGCAUGUAUUUCGUCUUCUCUUUAUUUAUUCGAAGGCCUAGACUACAUGUUCCUGUUUCUUCAUCGAGUUGGGAAAAUACCUCUCUCAUAUAUCUCUUGUAGAAAGAGCGACUGCACCUAGAUCAUUAGCAAAGGCCAACAAUAGUUUUGAUUCUCGAUUCGCAAAUCCCCCUGCCAGCUCAGAUUAUAUUUUAAUUAUUGCACUUUCUAACGCUAAAUUGAAUAGCAAUGGUGAUAAGAGGUCUCCUUGUCUAAGUCCUGAUGUUUUACUAAAUGGCAUCGGUGUUCCUUUUUUUUACAUAUUCAUAUGAGUCUGUCAAAUUAGCUCCACUAAUUUUCUAGGUAUUCCCAUUUCUAGCAUUGCUAGCCAUAGUCUACUUCUUUUUAUCGAAUCAUAUGCUUGCUGUAAAUCUGCGAAAAUUGGGUGUACGGGGUUAUUCACUAUAUUUUGACCCCCCUGUAAUAGACUAUUUAUAAAUGAGAAUAGGGGUUGUGUGCUAGCUCAUUUGAAAGGUUAUUAAAUUCUCUAUUCAGUAAUAUAAACAUUAAGAUAAUUAUUUAUAAAGGGUGUACAAAAAAAUUUUUAAUUAAAUUAAUUGACACAAAAAGAAGAAUGAAUGUAAUUUUUUUUAAUUCAAAAUACAUUUUACUGCUGUCAUUAAACAGAAAUAAAUGUUUAUUAAACAAAUAAACAUUACUUUUCACUUAAAUUCAAUGUUCAAGCUGUCACCCAUCUGCCUCUUGGCAGUUUGAACAUUGAAUUUAAGCAAAAAAGCAAGGUUUAUUUGUGCAGUUAACUUUUAUUUCUGUUUUCUAACAGCAGUAGAAGAUAUUUUGAAUUAAAUAAAUUACAUACAUUCUUCUUUUUGUGUCAAUUAAUUUAAUUCAAAAAAAAAUUUCGGACCCCCUGUAUAAAUAAUUAUCUUAAUGUUUAUAUUACUAAAUAGAGAACUAAAUAAUCUUUUAAAUUAGCUAGCACACGACCCCUAUUCUCAUUUAAAAAAAUAGUCGAUUACAACAUGAAAGCCGCAUGGAAAGUCGCCUAGAAUAUCUUCUGAGCCUCUAUAGCAAGAUAAUUGAUGGAAUUUUAUAUGCUGUGCUAAUAAGCGAUAUGCCUCUAUAGUUUCGAAAUUGUUCUUUGCUCUGCUGAUGAAAUCGUAAUACAUAGUAUUGAUUGGCGCUAGUGACAUAUAUGAUAUGUCUGAUGACGGCGCCGAUCGGUGCCACACUUAACGAACACCAUAUUAAUAAGUUACCGAGACAGUUAACUGUUUAUAUUCACUUUGCGCAUGCGUGGAUAUGAAAUGUUUUCAAAACUAUUAACACGAAUAUUAUAUGAGGAUGAAAAAAGUUACCAUUUAUAAUAAACUUUUAGAAAUAAGUGUCUGUGAAGUAUGUAGAAUGGAAUUGUUAGUUUAUUACCUACGGAAAAUGUUAUGAUCAUACUAUGUCGUUUAAAUUUAAAAAAUCUAAAACUUCUGAUAUAUGUUUAGACGCACACACUUGAGUAUAUACACAUGUCAUAAGUUAUAAUAAUUUAUUACUGUUGUUUUUGUUGGGAUUGUAUAUUAUAGACGAUAAUUUAUUAAGUUUUUAUUAUA
This 8087-nucleotide unclassified non-coding RNA is filed under the name Diabrotica virgifera virgifera (western corn rootworm). Its description in RNAcentral is "glycoprotein 3-alpha-L-fucosyltransferase A-like". The record is from RNAcentral. Lineage: Eukaryota; Metazoa; Arthropoda; Insecta; Coleoptera; Chrysomelidae.